Pelobates cultripes (western spadefoot toad) is the source of this 309-nucleotide non-coding RNA. NCBI's taxonomy places the organism in Eukaryota, Metazoa, Chordata, Amphibia, Anura, Pelobatidae. The record is from the annotation of a GenBank genome assembly.
AAAAACGAUGUGAAGGACUAUGUGCAGGCUUGUUCAGUUUGUGCUGUUUCUAAGGUCCCUCAUAAGCUUCCUUGUGGUUUGUUGCAACCACUUCCUGUACCUAGUGUUCCAUGGUCCCACUUGUCAAUGGACUUCAUUGUUGAACUUCCAAGUUCCAAUGGCUAUACCACCAUUCUUAUGGUGGUUGACCGUUUCUCCAAGAUGGCUCAUUUUAUUCCACUUAAAAAAUUGCCAUCCUCUCAAGACCUGGUUCUUAUCUUUAUACGUGAGAUUGUCCGACUGCAUGGCAUUCCUCACAAUAUUGUGUCU